GAAUAAAGAGUCAGUGAAGCAGCAGCGACUGGGCCUCUUCAGCUUCAGCUCUCACAUCACAAUAGCUGAUCACUUUUGAUCAGGGGGAGACAUUAAUCACAUCUGAUUAUGAGCAGAGUCUGGCAGUUCACGUCCAGACGACCUGCUCCCUCCAAGGUGAGGAAAGGACACGUCCACCACGCGACCAACGCAGAGCCUCGGCUUCGUCCGUCUGCUCCACAGCAGAGCUGCAUGUGCGGCGCCCAUCAGAACAAUGGGCAUCCCCGAUGGAGGAGGAUGGAGGAGGGAGGGAGGGAGGGAGGAAAUAAGUUGAGGGAGUGAGAGGGAGACGGAUCGGCCACGCCAACAGGAAAACACGCCUUUAAAUAAGCCUGAACGCUAACAGGUCUGAGCUCCUCCAGACACGCACCCGCCACCGCCACCGCCCAAAGCCCGUGAAGCGGCAGCACACAGAACCAGCGGACUCGAUGUCGAACAUCUGAUGCUUUUAGCUCGUUCCACACACAAAGAGGCAAAAGAACCUCCUCGCUGCGCCGUUAACGGCGACACCCACAAGUCACCGAGCGGCGCGAACAGACGAGACCCGACGUCCGAGCAGUCGUGUAUGAGCUACAUUAAUUAGCGAGCGCAGCAGCGGGGAGCGAGCACGGUCCCGUCCAGCUACGCCCAGCGUCAGUGAGUGCGCCCCGGCUCGAGCUCCGGCCAAGGGACGAGCGGACAAAGUCACGAAAACCGGGAGGGUGGAGAAAGACGGCAGAGAGGAGCAGGUCGAGUCGAGCCGACAGACAAGAAAGUGUGAAGCUCCGUCGCUCGGUCUCAGUGAUGCGGUGCGCGUUCCCUGGAAGGAAGAAAGGAGGAGACACGCGCGCGGUGAGAGCCCGGUGAGGGGAUGGAUGGGGGGGGGGGUCCGCUGCCUUCACGGGCUGCUGGAAAUCUCUCCAUUGCGACUCAUCCAGAGCCGUUACUUAAAAGAUCAUCACAGAAUAUUUCAUGUCUUAUAAAAGUUAUAAUAAAUGCUAAUGCUAGUGAGUAAAAUAACUAGUAAUGAAUAUAUUGUAUUUGUCAUUUUACCACCUUCCAUACACUGUACAAUUUCUUAUUAAUUUAUAGAUACCUAUGGAGGUUAUCCCGUUUUGAUUUCUCUUCUGUUUCUGUAUUUCAGUAAACCUACUAUUCUGUAUUGAUGCCUUUUUCUGUAUUUCUUGUUACACAGUUAUUACUGUUAUUUUCCCUUUUCUCUUGUCCUGUAAACUGUCAUACUGCUGCUGAAAACACACAUUGUGGGAUUAAUAAAGUCGUAAUUUAUCUCA
Betta splendens (Siamese fighting fish) is the source of this 1310-nucleotide long non-coding RNA. RefSeq lists it as uncharacterized. The transcript is spliced from 2 exons. The record is from RefSeq and is a predicted model, not a curated record. NCBI's taxonomy places the organism in Eukaryota, Metazoa, Chordata, Actinopteri, Anabantiformes, Osphronemidae.